AAAUAAAAACUUGCUAAUAUGAAAAGAAUUUAAAGUAUACUUUAUAAGAAAAAUAGUUUUAAUGAUUAGUUAAGCAAGUAAGAGAGUUGGAACGUUGGAUAUAAAUUGGCUUUAGUUGAGAAGUAUUGUAUAAGAAAGUUGAAAUAAGGUUUAAAAAGUAAUUAAACGAAAGUAUUGUUAGAAACAAGUACCUUGUGUAUCAGGGAAGUUUAAAAUUUUUCAUAUAAGUUGUUCAUCCCGAAGGAAAAAUAGCUAAUAUAAUAAUCUUGUCUUAGUUGUAUAUAGGUUUAAAAUUUUAUAUUAGUGGUGAAAUAUUAAACGAGUUUUCGAAUAUCUGGUUUUUUUAGAAAUGAAUUGAAUUCAGUUGCUUGAACAUUGUUCUUCAUGCAAUAAAAAGUAGGAGGGUAAGCUUCUUACUAAAAAAAGAACUAUAAAUCUUAAUAAAAAAAAAGUAAUCUAAACUAAGCUUAAAAGUAGCUAUGUUAGUAAAGUGUUUCAAUUAAGGAAGAGAUUUAAAAUUAUUUAUAUGGAAUUUAGUAUUUGUUAAAAGAAUAUAUUAAAAAUCAGUUUUUUAAUAGGAAAAAUGAAAUUAUUAGUAUAGAAUUGUUGUGAAAAGAGAAAAAUGAAUAGAUAAAAAGUUUGUAAUGUAGGGAAGUUAUCUUUAAGGAAUUCGGCAAAAGCAGCUUUUGCCUGUUUAUCAAAAACAUGUCUUUGUGAUGUUUAAUAUAAAGUCUGACCUGCCCACUGAUAUAGAGUUUAAAGGCCGCGGUAUAGUGACCGUGCGAAGGUAGCAUAAUAAUUUGUCUUUUAAUUGAAGACUAGUAUGAAAGGUCGAACAAAAGGCUAGCUGUCUCUGAGAUAAAACUUGAAAUUAACGUUUAAGUGAAAAGGCUUAAAUGAUCUAGAGGGACGAUAAGACCCUAUAAAUCUUUAUAUUUUGGCUUAUAAGGUUAAAAAUUAGGUUAUAAUUUAGUUUUAUAAGGUUGAAUAUUUUGUUGGGGAGACAGGAGUAUAAAAAGAAAUAACUGCUUUAGAAUUAGAGUUAAAGGUGUUUAAGUUUAAAAGUGAUCCUUUAAUAAGGAAUGUAGAUUAAGUUACUUUAGGGAUAACAGCGUAAUUCCCCUUGAGAGUCCAUAUCGAAAGGGGAGAUUGCGACCUCGAUGUUGAAUUAAUGAUCCUUUACGGUGCAGAAGUUGUAUGAGGAGGUCUGUUCGACCUUUAAAUCUUUACAUGAUUUGAGUUCAGACCGGCGUGAGCCAGGUCGGUUUCUAUCUUCUAGGAAGAAAAAUUAUUCCUUUAGUACGAAAGGAUUGAGGAGUAGUAAUAGUUACAGGAAGAAGAAU
Molecule: ribosomal RNA, 1343 nt
Filed under: Scyllarides haanii
Lineage: Eukaryota; Metazoa; Arthropoda; Malacostraca; Decapoda; Scyllaridae
Description: 16S ribosomal RNA
Rfam family: Archaeal large subunit ribosomal RNA (bases 643-1343)
Source: RNAcentral